Molecule: long non-coding RNA, 1768 nt
Filed under: Brassica napus (rape)
Lineage: Eukaryota; Viridiplantae; Streptophyta; Magnoliopsida; Brassicales; Brassicaceae
Description: long non-coding RNA (BNAP_LNC012780)
Source: RNAcentral
GGAUCUGGAUGGUGGUGCAUCAGCUGGAUCUUGAGCAUUACCAAUGUAACCCUGGGGAUGGCCAGAUGGUCUUAGAUUGGCCGCACCAACCGCGUUUGUAUGAUACUGAUCCAUCAUCCCAGGUGUUUGCUGCUUGUAAUGUUGCUGCCUAGCUUGUGAUUCUUUCCUCAUGAUCUCUUCUCUUUUACCUGCGUGGCGUGAUCUCAGUGCAGCUAACUGUUCUUCGUACCGAGUAUUAAUGGUGUUUAUUCUCUGUAUACAGAGAGUUUAAAAAGACUUCAGGUCAACUAACUUAAACCAAAACUAGAGUAGUUCAGUAGCAGAGCUUUUGUUCCUAACCUCUCGAUGUCUGGCAAUCUCUGCAUCCUCUGCUCCCAUUUGAUCUUUUGCUAGUCUUGUUAUAUCAUCCAUGAACUUCUGUUCAAUGCCUUCAAAGGUCUGCAUCCCACGGUUAUUCUCAUAGCCAGGCUUCGUGUUUUCAUGGUGCUGUGGUUGAGCUCUUGGACCGCUGCCUUGUGUCUCCAUUCCUGAUUUUGGAUCCAUUUGGCCGCGGUAAUAUGUCCUUGAUGAAUCAACGCCUUGACCUGCAUGAACACAAAGCUGGAAUCAAGAGAUAAACCCUAAAGCCUGAGAUACAGUCGAUGCAGGAGGAACUACAAAAGGAUAUGGUUUUUAAAAGUAUCUCCACCAAAAACAAAUAUGCAACUAACACUCCUCAACAAUUUAUACAAAACUUGUUGUAUAUGUCCAUUGCCUGAUACAUACAAUGCAUCAACUUAUAAAUGGAUUUUCAAAUUCACCAAAAAUUCUAAAACAACAAUAUCAUUGCCUACGAGACUUUAAAGCAACCCCUACCAAUAAGUAAAGAGACGUACUUUCAUUGUAAACAGCAGUUGACAUAGGCCUUGACAUAUUCGGGGGACCAUCUCUUUCCCAUCUCCAUUGACCCUCUGGUUGAGAUGGUUGGUCCCUCUCAGGCGUGAAGGCCUCUAGCUGACCUUGAAAAUCAGAAUGUGCAUUCUGUAUCUGCCCAGCUCCGUAUCCACUAGCAGGCGAGUCCGAAUUACGGCAAGAUUUAUGGUUUUGCCUCAUAGACAUUGAUUAAAUUGAAUUGAAUUGCAUGCUGAGUCACGUAUCACCCAAAUAACUCAGAUAUGGAUAAUGAACUUAUACUACUUGACAAAGUAAUCAAUAAAGUAGCUUUAGUCACCAUCUUUUGGAUCUGAUAUUAUUACUAUCACAUGAUGCGUCUUUUAAGAAGGUUAAAAAGACAACUUAUGACGUAUGUGUAUAUAAGAAUAACAAUGUGUCAUUGUAGUCAAUUUCAAAGUCUGGAUAGUCUUGAAAGCUUAACUGAUCUAUAAUUCAAAAAAAGCAAAGUAACACAACAGGUAUAUUACAUCAGUAGAACCGUGAGACUGUCCCACCAGGGUACUGACCCCUGGACUCGAAUCCAUGAUCCCUCUCUCCGCCCUGAAACCUAGCUCUCUCUCCAUAUGCUUCAAACCGAUCUGAUCCAUAGGAUCUGGAUGGUGGUGCAUCAGCUGGAUCUUGAGCAUUACCAAUGUAACCCUGGGGAUGGCCAGAUGGUCUUAGAUUGGCCGCACCAACCGCGUUUGUAUGAUACUGAUCCAUCAUCCCAGGUGUUUGCUGCUUGUAAUGUUGCUGCCUAGCUUGUGAUUCUUUCCUCAUGAUCUCUUCUCUUUUACCUGCGUGGCGUGAUCUCAGUGCAGCUAACUGUUCUUCGUACCGAGUAUUAAUGGUGUUU